AUGGUUGGACGAAAUAUUAACUGUUUCAUUUAAAUUUUUUAUAGAAUUUUAUUUUUUAGUCAAAAAGCUAAAAUAUAUUUAAAAGACGAGAAGACCCUAUAAAUCUUUAUAUUUUAUUUAUUUUAAUUAUAAAGAUUAAUUUGAUUUUAAUAAAUUAAAAUAUUUUAUUGGGGUGAUAUUAAAAUUUAAAAAACUUUUAAUUUUUAAAAACAUUAAUUUAUGAAUAAUUGAUCCAUUAAUAAUGAUUAAAAAAUUAAGUUACUUUAGGGAUAACAGCGUAAUUUUUUUGGAGAGUUCAUAUCGAUAAAAAAGAUUGCGACCUCGAUGUUGGAUUAAGAUAUAAUUUUGGGUGUAGCCGUUCAAAUUUUAAGUCUGUUCGACUUUUAAAUUCUUACAUGAUCUGAGUUCAAACCGGUGUAAGCCAGGUUGGUUUCUAUCUUUAAAAAAUUAUAAUAUUUUAGUACGAAAGGACCAAAUAUUAAAAUAAUUAUAUUUUUAAAUAUGAAUAUUAUUAAUAU
RNAcentral lists this ribosomal RNA (518 nucleotides) under Drosophila elegans. RNAcentral describes it as "partial 16S ribosomal RNA". The stretch from base 269 to 428 matches the Rfam family "Bacterial large subunit ribosomal RNA", at positions 2473 to 2632 of the family's 2925-position model. The record is from RNAcentral. Lineage: Eukaryota; Metazoa; Arthropoda; Insecta; Diptera; Drosophilidae.